AGAGUUUGAUUCUGGCGUCAGGAUGAACGCUGGCGGCGUGCCUAACACAUGCAAGUCGAACGGACCUUAUCUGAACAGAGACUUCGGUGAAGAGAUCAUAAGGUUAGUGGCGGACGGGUGAGUAACGCGUGGAGAACCUGCCCUGUACUGGGGGAUAACAGUGAGAAAUCACUGCUAAUACCGCAUAAGCGCACGGUACCGCAUGGUACAGUGUGAAAAACUCCGGUGGUACAGGAUGGCUCCGCGUUGGAUUAGCCAGUUGCGGGGUAACGGCCCACCAAAGCGACGAUCCAUAGCCGGCCUGAGAGGGUGAACGGCCACAUUGGGACUGAGACACGGCCCAGACUCCUACGGGAGGCAGCAGUGGGGAAUAUUGCACAAUGGGGGGAACCCUGAUGCCAGCGACGCCGCGUGAAGGAAGAAGUAUCUCGGUAUGUAAACUUCUAUCAGCAGGGAAGAGAUUGACGGUACCUGACCAAGAAGCCCCGGCUAACUACGUGCCAGCCGCCGC
This 511-nucleotide ribosomal RNA is filed under the name uncultured bacterium. RNAcentral's name for it is "bacterial SSU rRNA". It matches the Rfam family "Bacterial small subunit ribosomal RNA", at positions 8 to 518 of the family's 1533-position model. The record is from RNAcentral.